AUCCUCUGGGUCACGCCCCCGAGGCCGCAAGGCGUCUGAGAAGCAGCCCCGGCUCUGACCCGCCAGCCCUCGGAAGAAGCAGACCCUGGCCGGUCCAUGGCAGUGGCCCGAGGGGCACCAGCGCGGAGCACCAGCGACCCCCAAGGAACGACGUUGCAGAUGAUGCUCUACCAAGAGUUGGAAGGACUCCCCAGGGAAUCCCACAAGACACUGCGCUUCCUAUGCCUCCUUUCCCUCGUUUAAAAAAUGGGGAUAAGAAGGUUGGCUACUGCUCCGACAGCCCUCACAAUGGAAGAGUAGCACUUCAUUUGUGGGUUAACAAAGGGCAACGCUGAAAUCUCCACUUCCACUAUUGAAUGGAACUGUGUCAUAAUAUCUGUUAGAGGCGUGCAAACUCGGCCACAAGGUCAUGGUCAUACGUUAUUGUUGGUCAAAAGCCGCAGCCCUACCUGAGGCUUUGAGAGAUAUGAACACCAAUGACUUUUCUUUUCCUGACUCCCGAAAUACCAAGAAAAAGCAACUUCCCCAAAUGGACAGAAACAGAAAGUACCCUUGGUUGAACACAGAGGCCUGGUUCCAGCCAUCGUUAGACGUGGGAAGGAACUCAGACCCCCUCUCCUACCUCAUCCCCAACCCCUUCCCCACACGUCACCCUUUCACAGAGAAGGAACCAGAGCCACCAAGGGCUGAGAGAGGACUUGAUAAGGAUUCCAGUCUUCUGUCUCCCCUGUCCCCACUUUUUCCACCACAAAAAUAUGGACAUUUGGAAGAAGAGGAGAAGAGGGAAGGUACACACUGUGCAAAGGAAGAAAAUGGCAGAAAUGCUCUGGAAUCAGGAAUUCAGGAGCAAGAAUGACACUGUGUGCCAGAUGGAAAUGUUGGAUUAGGAGAGCACUUGGAAAGGCAAAUAAUCUGCCAGAGAAAUUAUGGGAUGCCUGCCUUCUGAAAAUGGAGGAAAACUGCAAAAGAGUGGCUCAUUGGUGCUCACUCCUAGGGCUCUGAGCAUCCCAAGAAGCCAACUUGGUCCCAUCGUACAUCCCCUCAGAAGUAGGCAUUCUCCUCUCCACCUACAGCUGUGGCCCAGAUGUGGAGCCUGCAUGUUAUGCCACGCCGUCAACACUGAGUUCUGUCUGCGUCUCCCUGUCACAGAUCUGAUCAGCACCUGACACCUAUCCAUUCUCCAUUUCCCACCUCCCCAAAGCUGCUGGAAAAACUCUGAAAGGUACCUCUGUCACUCAUUAAGCAUCUGAUUAUGUACCUCUUUCUACAACUCCUUUGUUGCUUUGUUUUAAAAUCUAUGGCUCUUUGAAAUCACUCUCCUUCCUUUCACUGCCUAAUGUUUUCAAAGAGGAGUCUACCCCUGCCUCCACUUCCUCAUCUUACAUUUAUUCCUCAAUUCUCUGAACAGAGACCACCAGGGAAACCCCAAAUGUCAACUCCAAUGGUUUCAUUUUCUUACCUCACUACAGCAUUUGGCACCACUCCUUCUUGAAAAUCCCCUCCUUGGCUUCUCCUCCACCUCUCACCAUGAUUUCUGUUUUCUUCUUCUGGCUUCAUUUCUUCAUCAUCUCUUAAACAUUACAAUGCUUGAGAUUUCAGAUAAGGCUGCUUCUCUUCUCCCUGGGCAAUCUCAUCCAUUCCCAUCAUACUGAUCCCUCCCAAACUAUCGCCCAGACUUCUCUCUUGAGCUCCAGAUCUGUAAUUCCAAGUGUUUUCUGUACACCCAUACCUAGAUAAUCAAUCCAAAAGCCUUUUAAUUACUCCAUGACCUAAAAUAAAUUCCUCAUCUUCUCCCAAA
Molecule: long non-coding RNA, 1798 nt
Filed under: Homo sapiens (human)
Lineage: Eukaryota; Metazoa; Chordata; Mammalia; Primates; Hominidae
Description: PIK3R5 divergent transcript, transcript variant 1 (PIK3R5-DT)
Source: RNAcentral